UGGAGAGAUAACCUAGUCAUUCAGAGGCCGCCCGCUUCCGAGGUGAUCAGGCAGUGUCAGUCUUCAGCUGCUAAGCCAAGAAGGUCUGGGAAGGAGUCAGUCAGAGAGCCUUGGGCCAGAGUUCCAGGGGCUCUGGGAGUGGCUGCCAGACAACUGUGAGUGGAAUUGCUGAGUCAUGUGGCAAACUACCAGUUCUGUUGAACCUCAGGGCCAUCAUUCUGUUCAUGUUAGCUCACUGUAGAACCACAUCGAUGAAGACUAAGAUGGUAAAGAAGAAAAAUUGUAGCUAACAUUUACUGCACAUUUACUACAAGCCAAGCAUUGCACUAUGAAGUUUAAGUGCAUUAUUCAUUAACCCCUUC
Molecule: small RNA, 362 nt
Filed under: Pongo abelii (Sumatran orangutan)
Lineage: Eukaryota; Metazoa; Chordata; Mammalia; Primates; Hominidae
Description: processed transcript
Source: RNAcentral